Molecule: non-coding RNA, 30 nt
Filed under: Homo sapiens (human)
Lineage: Eukaryota; Metazoa; Chordata; Mammalia; Primates; Hominidae
Source: RNAcentral
UUUGCUCAACAGAAAGCCAUGUAAACCUGU